This 254-nucleotide ribosomal RNA is filed under the name uncultured bacterium. Its description in RNAcentral is "partial 16S ribosomal RNA". It matches the Rfam family "Bacterial small subunit ribosomal RNA", at positions 524 to 776 of the family's 1533-position model. The record is from RNAcentral.
UACGUAGGGUGCGAGCGUUGUCCGGAAUUAUUGGGCGUAAAGAGCUCGUAGGCGGUGUGUCACGUCGUUCGUGAAAACCUGCAGCUUAACUGUGGGCGUGCGGUCGAUACGGGCAUCACUGGAGUUCGGCAGGGGAGACUGGAAUUCCUGGUGUAGCGGUGAAAUGCGCAGAUAUCAGGAGGAACACCAGUGGCGAAGGCGGGUCUCUGGACAGUUCCUGACGCUGAGGCACGAAGGUCAGGGGAGCAAACGGG